CCUACGGGAGGCAGCAGUGGGGAAUAUUGCACAAUGGGGGAAACCCUGAUGCAGCGACGCCGCGUGAGCGAAGAAGUAUUUCGGUUCGUAAAGCUCUAUCCGCAGGGAAGAAAAUGACGGUACUUGACUAAGAAGCCCCGGCUAACUACGUGCCAGCAGCCGCGGUAAUACGUAGGGGGCUAGCGUUAUCCGGAUUUACUGGGCGUAAAGGGAGCGUAGCUGGUGGCUUAAGUCAGAGGUGAAAGCCGAGGGCUUAACCGUAGACAGCUUUUGAAACUGGGCAGCUUGAGUGCAGGAGGGGAGAGUGGAAUUCCUAGUGUAGCGGUGAAAUGCGUAGAUAUUAGGAGGAACACCAGUGGCGAAGGCGGCUCUCUGGACUGUAACUGACACUGAGGCACGAAAGCGUGGGGAGCAAACAGGAUUAGAUACCCCAGUAGUC
RNAcentral lists this ribosomal RNA (439 nucleotides) under uncultured bacterium. RNAcentral describes it as "partial 16S ribosomal RNA". It matches the Rfam family "Bacterial small subunit ribosomal RNA", at positions 338 to 795 of the family's 1533-position model. The record is from RNAcentral.